UCAAGGACGAACGCUGGCGGCGUGCUUCAAACAUGCAAGUCGAACGAGUAUUUGAGCUUGCUUAGAUUACUAGUGCGGACUGGUGAGUACGCGUGAGUAAUCUGCCUAUCACAGGGGGAUAACAGAGGGAAACUUUCUGCUAAUACCGCAUAAGACCACAGGAUGGCAUCAUCAAGGGGUCAAAGGUUACGAUCUGGUGAUAGAUGAGCUUGCGUAUCAUUAGCUAGUUGGUGAGGGUAAAGGCCCACCAAGGCGACGAUGAUUAGCCGAUCUGAGAGGAUGACCGGCCACACUGGGACUGAGAUACGGCCCAGACUCCUACGGGAGGCAGCAGUUAGGAAUAUUGGGCAAUGGAGGAAACUCUGACCCAGCAACGCCGCGUGAAGGAAGAAGGUUUUUCGGACUGUAAACUUCUGAUCUAAGGGAAAAAGAAAGUUGAUGGUACCUUAGGAGAAAGCCACGGCUAACUACGUGCCAGCAGCCGCGGUAA
This 490-nucleotide ribosomal RNA is filed under the name uncultured bacterium. RNAcentral's name for it is "bacterial SSU rRNA". It matches the Rfam family "Bacterial small subunit ribosomal RNA", at positions 26 to 523 of the family's 1533-position model. The record is from RNAcentral.